GAGGGACUGAUGGUGAUAUUCACCGCUUUUCAGGUGGCCACGAUGAACCUGUGAAAAUCAGUACAACAAAAUGAAAGACAUGACAUUUCCUGUUCCCACUAGGUGGCGCUCUACGUAUUCCUGUCAAUGGGCACAUCAAUCUGUUCAGGGCGGGUCUGAAAUCAUGCCUGUAAAGUCUGGUACGGAUCAGAUUGGAUUUCAUUGAGUUACAUUAAUUUGUUUCUUCAUGGCGAGACAUCAAUGUUCGCCAUGCUGCUGGGGUCACACCCUUUCGCGAAAACUCACAGUUUUCACUGUAACCCAAGACCAACUCCUUAAGGCUUUCCUGGAGAAAUUUGAGGCUGCAAAUGUCACCCAUGACAAUACUGUACUCCAAAGUGUAAAACAUGACAUUUCCUGUUCCC
Long non-coding RNA from Oreochromis aureus, 404 nucleotides. Lineage: Eukaryota; Metazoa; Chordata; Actinopteri; Cichliformes; Cichlidae. The record is from Ensembl.